This 511-nucleotide ribosomal RNA is filed under the name uncultured bacterium. RNAcentral's name for it is "bacterial SSU rRNA". It matches the Rfam family "Bacterial small subunit ribosomal RNA", at positions 28 to 585 of the family's 1533-position model. The record is from RNAcentral.
AUUGAACGCUGGCGGCGUGGCUAAAGCAUGCAAGUCGAGCGAACCCGCGAGGGUGAGCGGCGGACGGGUUAGUAAUACGAUCGAACGUGCCCCGAGGUGGGGGAUAGGCGUGGGAAACUGCGCGUAAUACCCCAUGAUCUCUCCGGAGCAAAGGUUUACCGCCUUGGGAUCGGCGAUCGUCCUAUCAGCUAGUUGGCGGGGUAAAGGCCCACCAAGGCGAUGACGGGUAGCAGGUGUGAGAGCACGACCUGCAACAUCGGGACUGAGACACUGCCCGGACUCCUACGGGAGGCUGCAGCGACGAAUCUUCCGCAAUGGGCGCAAGCCUGACGGAGCGACGCCGCGUGUGGGAUGAAGCGUCUUCGACGUGUAAACCACUGUCAGGGGGCAGAACCAAUGAUCGCCCCCAAAGGAAGAGACGGCUAACCCUGUGCCAGCAGCCGCGGUAAGACAGGGGUCUCGAGCGUUAAUCGGAAUUACUGGGCUUAAAGGGUGCGUAGGCCGGCCCGCG